UUUACAUCGGCUCCAUGGGAAUCAGCAACCAGCGAUUCCUGCCAGAGCAUGAAGACCCCAGCAGCUCAGAGUUUACUCAGCUGGCCGCUCAAGUCAGCCAACAGCUCAAACUGAUUUACUCCAAAAACUCAGUGCUGGCCAAAUACUUCAACCGCAACUCCGUCCAGGCCUUCAGUAUUGCCACUCUGCCGGAUCCGCUUUUCUGCAAAGCCGCCUCCAUUCAGCACGAUCAAGGGCAUCGUUCAGUCGCGCUCCUUGCAUCUUCUCUGUGAUCGGUGUGAUGCCCAGCCGCUUUCGGAUGCUGAUGUUCAUGAUGUGGUCCCAUCGUGUCAGGCCCAGGCACCAUCGCAGCAACCGCAUUUCCAUUGUGGGAAGGGCCUGUUCGUGCGUUGCGGUUGCCGGCCAACAUUCGGA
Astatotilapia calliptera (eastern happy) is the source of this 414-nucleotide long non-coding RNA. The record is from Ensembl. NCBI's taxonomy places the organism in Eukaryota, Metazoa, Chordata, Actinopteri, Cichliformes, Cichlidae.